This 234-nucleotide ribosomal RNA is filed under the name uncultured bacterium. Its description in RNAcentral is "partial 16S ribosomal RNA". It matches the Rfam family "Bacterial small subunit ribosomal RNA", at positions 96 to 334 of the family's 1533-position model. The record is from RNAcentral.
UGGCGGACGGGUGAGUAAUGUCUGGGAAACUGCCUGAUGGAGGGGGAUAACUACUGGAAACGGUAGCUAAUACCGCAUAACGUCGCAGACCAAAGAGGGGGACCUUCGGGCCUCUUGCCAUCGGAUGUGCCCAGAUGGGAUUAGCUAGUAGGUGGGGUAAAGGCUCACCUAGGCGACGAUCCCUAGCUGGUCUGAGAGGAUGACCAGCCACACUGGAACUGAGACACGGUCCAG